Molecule: unclassified non-coding RNA, 20 nt
Filed under: Mus musculus (house mouse)
Lineage: Eukaryota; Metazoa; Chordata; Mammalia; Rodentia; Muridae
Description: oocyte_clustered_small_RNA1423
Source: RNAcentral
UGCGUUCCCUCUGAAGUCAC